UAACACAUGCAAGUCGAGCGAUCCCUUCGGGGAUAGCGGCGGACGGGUGAGUAACGCGUGGGAAUGUACCCUUCAGUGCGGAAUAGCCUCUGGAAACGGAGAUUAAUACCGCAUACGCCCUUCGGGGGAAAGAUUGAUCGGUGAAGGAUCAGCCCGCGUUUGAUUAGGUUGUUGGUGGGGUAAUGGCCUACCAAGCCGACGAUCAGUAGCUGGUUUGAGAGGAUGAUCAGCCACACUGGGACUGAGACACGGCCCAGACUCCUACGGGAGGCAGCAUCGCCCGCCGCGCCCCGC
Molecule: ribosomal RNA, 294 nt
Filed under: uncultured Oceanicola sp.
Lineage: Bacteria; Pseudomonadati; Pseudomonadota; Alphaproteobacteria; Rhodobacterales; Roseobacteraceae
Description: partial 16S ribosomal RNA
Rfam family: Bacterial small subunit ribosomal RNA
Source: RNAcentral